Molecule: non-coding RNA, 26 nt
Filed under: Mus musculus (house mouse)
Lineage: Eukaryota; Metazoa; Chordata; Mammalia; Rodentia; Muridae
Source: RNAcentral
UAAUGACUAUAGUUUCCAACAAGAAA